UGCUGAGUAGCUCAGUGGUAGAAACAGUUGCUUUGAGUGUAAGCUGAGCUAUAUGGCCUGGGUUCAAUCCCAGCUCUGUUG
Megalops atlanticus (tarpon) is the source of this 81-nucleotide non-coding RNA. The record is from the annotation of a GenBank genome assembly. NCBI's taxonomy places the organism in Eukaryota, Metazoa, Chordata, Actinopteri, Elopiformes, Megalopidae.